AAUAGUAUUCACCACGUCAAGGUAUGGCAAGCCGGUCCUCCUGAUCGGCGGUCGGAGGUUCAACCGCUACCACAAGUGUAACUCCGCUCGUGUGCGCUGGGUCUGCACCAGGACCUCGACAGGCUGCAAGGCCACAGUCCUCACUUUCGAUAACAAGAUUAUUCAGAUCUGUAAUCCACACAAUCACUGCUAAAGCUAUUGAUCACUCUUAUUAAGAUAGCAGAAAGGCGAUGGAUGAAGACAGCUACCAACCGCCCAAAUCAGGAAAUCAUUGGCGCUUAUGUUCAGUAGUGGAUGUUAUUUAAAAUUUGCCUUAUUUCACGACAUCCAAAUUCGGGAAGCCUGUCCUACAAAUGGGCAUGCACAGGUAUAAUCGGCACUCUCAAUACAAGGGGCCUAAGGUCAGAUGGGUGUGCACCAGGAUCGCUUCUGGGUGCAAGGCAUACGUCACUACGCUAUUUGAUAAGAUCAUCAGUAUAAAUCAUGGCCAUAGUCACAAAUAAUGAAAUAAUAUAAC
This is a long non-coding RNA of Ostrinia furnacalis (Asian corn borer), 517 nucleotides long. RefSeq lists it as uncharacterized. The transcript is spliced from 2 exons. The record is from RefSeq and is a predicted model, not a curated record. NCBI's taxonomy places the organism in Eukaryota, Metazoa, Arthropoda, Insecta, Lepidoptera, Crambidae.